CAUGAGAGCGAGAGCAAUAACAAGCGCCAUCAAAAGUCCUGUGAAGUCAACGCCAUCGCCGUCGCUUAGCUCCGAGCAAACCAUUUUUCCCAUCUUCGUCGCAAGUCGCAACAAUAUAUGCUUGCUUUUCUCCUUUCCUUUUGUUCCCUCGAAAGUUACCACAUUAUUUUCAUGACGAUUUUAUAAUUUUAUCUUAGAUUGAGUCAAGCCCACAGUGGAAUUUGCAUGUAUAAAGAAACUUCGCUUCCUGUUUGGUCGUCUGAAAAAAUCAACCCACAAUUAUGGACCCAACGACUACGCUUGUACUAAUGACAGUGACGUUGUCCAUUUUCAAUCCCUGCGUAGGGUUUAAGCUUUCUCAACAGUGGGGGGCGGCCGGAGACUGGACGCAGACGAUUGGGUUGGGCCAAGUUAGGAGACAAGGCCGUCUGUCCUGGGGCAAGACCAAGCCUGCAAGGGGAUCUGAGACUACCCCUUUUACCCAUUGAAUGUGACAACAUGUUGGGGUUGAAUUGAAAUAAUUAAACAGUGGAAGAACGUAGAUAAAGUGGAAGGUAACAAAAUGAUUGAGAGCAUUAUUCAUGAGGAUGCAACAAUCAUUGAUUUGAUUCCCUUCAUCAAAGGGUCACUCGCUCAGGUUGGCUCUGUUUUUUUUAAGUAUUCAUUACACCAUACUACAUGUGGGCCUCUUUUAACUAUGACUGUUGAUGCAAAUGCAAUGGAAUAAUAGUUUUGAUUCAGUUACUGUGCCUCAUCAUGGCUAUAAAAC
Molecule: unclassified non-coding RNA, 769 nt
Filed under: Hevea brasiliensis (rubber tree)
Lineage: Eukaryota; Viridiplantae; Streptophyta; Magnoliopsida; Malpighiales; Euphorbiaceae
Source: RNAcentral